This 362-nucleotide ribosomal RNA is filed under the name uncultured bacterium. RNAcentral's name for it is "bacterial SSU rRNA". It matches the Rfam family "Bacterial small subunit ribosomal RNA", at positions 1053 to 1414 of the family's 1533-position model. The record is from RNAcentral.
CGUCAGCUCGUGUCGUGAGAUGUUGGGUUAAGUCCCGCAACGAGCGCAACCCUUGUCUUUAGUUGCCAGCAAGUAAUGUUGGGCACUCUAGAGAGACUGCCGGGGAUAACUCGGAGGAAGGUGGGGAUGACGUCAAAUCAUCAUGCCCCUUAUGUUCAGGGCUACACACGUGCUACAAUGGCCGAUACAAAGGGCUGCGAAGGAGUAAUCUGGAGCCAAUCCCAUAAAGUCGGUCCCAGUUCGGAUUGUGGGCUGAAACUCGCCCACAUGAAGUUGGAGUUGCUAGUAAUCGCGAAUCAGAAUGUCGCGGUGAAUGCGUUCCCGGGUCUUGUACACACCGCCCGUCACACCAUGGGAGUCGG